RNAcentral lists this unclassified non-coding RNA (244 nucleotides) under Mortierella sp. RNAcentral's name for it is "partial internal transcribed spacer region". The stretch from base 1 to 68 matches the Rfam family "Eukaryotic small subunit ribosomal RNA", at positions 1764 to 1831 of the family's 1831-position model. The record is from RNAcentral. Lineage: Eukaryota; Fungi; Mortierellomycota; Mortierellomycetes; Mortierellales; Mortierellaceae.
CUUGGUCAUUUAGAGGAAGUAAAAGUCGUAACAAGGUUUCCGUAGGUGAACCUGCGGAAGGAUCAUUCAUAAUAAGUGUUUUAUGGCACUUUUUAAAUCCAUAUCCACCUUGUGUGCAAUGUCGGUCGAUCUUCUUCAUGGAGAUCGACCAAACAUCAACCUUUAUCUUUUAACUCUUUGUCUGAAAAAUAUUAUGAAUAAACAAUUCAAAAUACAACUUUCAACAACGGAUCUCUUGGCUCUC